Molecule: long non-coding RNA, 1290 nt
Organism: Acinonyx jubatus (cheetah)
Lineage: Eukaryota; Metazoa; Chordata; Mammalia; Carnivora; Felidae
Exons: 3
Source: RefSeq, a predicted model, not a curated record
GCUCAAUAAUGUUUAGGUAUGAGGCACACGAUAGUUGCUCUCUAAAUUACAAAUUUUAAAGUCGUGAAUAAAAAUAAAGGAACAGAAAUUAUGUUAACUCCUUUUAGUAGCAGUCAAUUUUUAAGCACAACUGUUUUAAACCACAGGACAGAGAACUUGAGAGAGAAAAUCUUCAGGUGAAGCAAGCAAGCUGAAACUGAGGAAAUUCUUCCUGAAAGAAUGAUUUAUUUCUUCCAAAGAAAUUUGGUUUAUCAAAAUCAAUCAACAAAUGAGUGAACCCAUGGUGUGGUUUUUUACAGCAAAAUUUAAAACCCAACAGAUUUCUCUUUCCCAUCUAGCAUGCUUCUGUCUAACCUCUCAGCAUUAGUUGGAAGGGAGACUUACCUAACGGGUGAAUUUGGGAGAAGGAGCUAAGCAGUGCUUAUGUGUUUCUGAGUCUCCUCUUUGAAAAGAUGUGCCUGCCCACAGUAACAUGAAUUUGGGUCUGCUCUCAGCUCUGUGAGAAGAACAGUGUUACUUGUCGCCUACCCAGUGUCACCUGUCACAGCUCCACCAAGAAAAAUGACUAGACAACACUUACAGAAACAUUCUCUUCUUCCUUGACUUCAUAACUAAUAUACAUUGUUCAAAAGCAACGCCCACUCAAAAGAGAAAAAUUGAAAGAAACCAUUUUAGAAACAAACAUAGAAAGUCAGACAAACUGAGGACACAGAGGAAUACCUUCCAAACGAAAGAACAUGACAAAACCUAAGGAAAAAAAAAACUAACAAAACUAAGAAAAAAAAACUAAGAAAAAAAGAGACAAGUGAUGAGUUCAAGGUAAAGGUCAUAAAGAUGCUCAGUGAACUUGGGAGGAGAAUGAAUGGAUCCAGUGAUAACAUCUACAAACAGAUAGAAAAUAUAAAAAAGAACCAAUCAGAGCUGAAGGAUACAAUAACAGAAAUGACAAAUACACUAAGGGGCAUCAACAGCAGAUAAGAAGAUGCAGAAGAACAGAUCAACAAUUUGCAAGACAGGGUAGUAGAAAUCAUCCAAGCUGAAAGACAGAAAAAAGAACUUUAAAAAUGAGACUAGGUUAAGGGACCUGUGGGACAACAUUCAGUGUAAUAAUACUUGCAUUCAAGGGGUUCCAGAAAAAGAAAAGAGAAACGGGCAAAGAACUCAUUUGAAGAAAUAAAAGCUUCAUUUUAAAAAUUCAAAUAUUUGCUUGAUUUAGCUAUUUAUAAAAUGCUCUACAAUUGCUCAGCAAGGUGUUUUAUAAAAAUUGAAACAGAGGUGCUAUUAGUCAAA